UACGGAGGGUGCGAGCGUUAAUCGGAAUAACUGGGCGUAAAGGGCACGCAGGCGGUGUUUUAAGUCAGAUGUGAAAUCCCCGGGCUUAACCUGGGAAUAGCAUUUCGGACUGGGAGUCUAGAGUACUUUAGGGAGGGGUAGAAUUCCUGGUGUAGCGGUGAAAUGCGUAGAGAUGUGGAGGAAUACCGAAGGCGAAGGCAGCCCCCUGGGAAUGUACUGACGCUCAUGUGCGAAAGCGUGGGGAGCAAACAGG
RNAcentral lists this ribosomal RNA (253 nucleotides) under uncultured bacterium. RNAcentral describes it as "partial 16S ribosomal RNA". It matches the Rfam family "Bacterial small subunit ribosomal RNA", at positions 524 to 776 of the family's 1533-position model. The record is from RNAcentral.